UCUAGUUGGAAAUAACUUCAAUGACUGAUAUUUAAUAUAUCUGAUUCAUGGGAGUAUUUUUCACAGUAAAAGUCACUGUUAUUACAUUUACAUAGAAAAACUCACUGUUGCUCAAUUGCUAGUAAUUAGUUGUAAAGCUGCAAUGAGAGUAACGUAAGUAACUGUGCAUUAAUGACCUAUCGCAUGCAUGACAUAACAAAAUAAAAUUGUAUAAAGGGUAAAUCACUGUACAAAAGAAUAGCAAUAGGAAAAGGCCAACC
RNAcentral lists this long non-coding RNA (260 nucleotides) under Mytilus galloprovincialis (Mediterranean mussel). Lineage: Eukaryota; Metazoa; Mollusca; Bivalvia; Mytilida; Mytilidae. The record is from RNAcentral.